This 484-nucleotide ribosomal RNA is filed under the name uncultured bacterium. RNAcentral's name for it is "partial 16S ribosomal RNA". It matches the Rfam family "Bacterial small subunit ribosomal RNA", at positions 30 to 507 of the family's 1533-position model. The record is from RNAcentral.
AUUGAACGCUGGCGGCAGGCCUAACACAUGCAAGUCGAGUGGAUGAAGGGAGCUUGCUCCUGGAUUCAGCGGCGGACGGGUGAGUAAUGCCUAGCAAUCUGCCUGGUAGUGGGGGAUAACGUCCGGAAACGGGCGCUAAUACCGCAUACGUCCUGAGGGAGAAAGUGGGGGAUCUUCGGACCUCACGCUAUCAGAUGAGCCUAGGUCGGAUUAGCUAGUUGGUGGGGUAAAGGCCUACCAAGGCGACGAUCCGUAACUGGUCUGAGAGGAUGAUCAGUCACACUGGAACUGAGACACGGUCCAGACUCCUACGGGAGGCAGCAGUGGGGAAUAUUGGACAAUGGGCGAAAGCCUGAUCCAGCCAUGCCGCGUGUGUGAAGAAGGUCUUCGGAUUGUAAAGCACUUUAAGUUGGGAGGAAGGGCAGUAAGUUAAUACCUUGCUGUUUUGACGUUACCAACAGAAUAAGCACCGGCUAACUUCGUG